GUGGGGAAUUUUCCACAAUGGGCGAAAGCCUGAUGGAGCAACGCCGCGUGAGUGAAGAAGGUUUUCGGAUCGUAAAGCUCUUUCGUUAGGGACGAACGUGCUCUUUGUGAAUAAUGAGGAGUAAUGACGGUACCUAAAUAAGAAGCCACGGCUAACUACGUGCCAGCAGCCGCGGUAAUACGUAGGUGGCAAGCGUUGUCCGGAAUUAUUGGGCGUAAAGCGCGCGCAGGCGGGAUAUCAAGUCUGUCUUAAAAGUGCGAGGCUCAACCUCGUGAGGGGACAGAAACUGGUAUUCUUGAGUGUCGGAGAGGAAAGUGGAAUUCCAAGUGUAGCGGUGAAAUGCGUAGAGAUUUGGAAGAACACCAGUGGCGAAGGCGACUUUCUGGACGAUGUCUGACGCUGAGGCGCGAAAGCUAGGGGAGCGAACGGGAUUAGAAACCCGAGUAGUCC
RNAcentral lists this ribosomal RNA (450 nucleotides) under uncultured bacterium. Its description in RNAcentral is "partial 16S ribosomal RNA". It matches the Rfam family "Bacterial small subunit ribosomal RNA", at positions 354 to 796 of the family's 1533-position model. The record is from RNAcentral.